This 374-nucleotide long non-coding RNA is filed under the name Panax ginseng (ginseng). RNAcentral's name for it is "long non-coding RNA (PGIN_LNC014897)". Lineage: Eukaryota; Viridiplantae; Streptophyta; Magnoliopsida; Apiales; Araliaceae. The record is from RNAcentral.
CCGAAUUUUAUAAAAUAAAAGUAUUCAAUUUUUCUUAUAAUUACUAUUCAGUAAAUGGUUAAAUUGAUAAAAGUUUAAAAUUAAGGGUGAUAUAUGAAUUUUUUUUUAAAAUAAGCAAGUGGUUAUAAAAUAUUCUUUCUGUCGGGCAAUAUUCGUACGACGGCGCAGCCAUUUGUGGGCCUCAUAACAGAAUAACUAUCGGAUGAAGAAAACGACAAAAGAGAGUUUUUUAAAUAACGGCGUAGUUGUUACCGUUAAUACUGUUGGAAUACCCGGUGGUUAAAAUACAGUAAUACGCGUUGUUGCACAGUAGCACACGGUAUUGCAUCAAUUAUUGAUUCUUACGUAAGAAGGCACUACUCAAUAAUUGUUAC